GUCCACUGAACCUUAUCAUUUAGAGGAAGGAGAAGUCGUAACAAGGUUUCCGUAGGUGAACCUGCGGAAGGAUCAUUGUCGAGACCCGCAAGGCAGACCCGCGAACGCGUUCCACAGCUCACCCGGGAGGACGACGCCCAGCGUCGGAUUCCCGUUCCGUCGGCGCUCGCGUCGCACGGCCCAACGAACCCCGGCGCGAAAAGCGUCAAGGAACACCCGAAAUACGCCGCCCGCCCCGGGAUGCCCCGUCCGCGGUGCGCUCCAGGGGAUCGGGCGCGCGUCGAAUUCGAAACGACUCUCGGCAACGGAUAUCUUGGCUCUCGCAUCGAUGAAGAACGCAGCAAAAUGCGAUACUUGGUGUGAAUUGCAGAAUCCCGUGAACCAUCGAGUUUUUGAACGCAAGUUGCGCCCGAGGCCUCCACGCCGAGGGCACGUCUGCCUGGGCGUCACGCGCAGCGUCGCCCUCCACCCCCGCGGGGUGCUGGGCCGGAGAUUGGCCUCCCGUGCGCACCCGCGCGCGGCCGGCCCAAAUGCGAUUCGGCACCGGCGCGUGCCGCGACGAUUGGUGGUUGAAGACCUCAACUCGCGCGUCGUCGUGCGGUAGCGCGCCGUCAGCCCGGAAUGCUCCGACCCCCCCGGUGCUCCGCACCUCCGAAGCGACCCCAGGUCAGGCGGGAUCACCCGCUGAGUUUAAGCAUAUCAAUAAGCGGAGGA
Molecule: ribosomal RNA, 714 nt
Filed under: Noronhia sp. CHW-2013a
Lineage: Eukaryota; Viridiplantae; Streptophyta; Magnoliopsida; Lamiales; Oleaceae
Description: eukaryotic LSU rRNA
Rfam family: 5.8S ribosomal RNA (bases 294-449)
Source: RNAcentral